RNAcentral lists this ribosomal RNA (673 nucleotides) under Bartonella mastomydis. Its description in RNAcentral is "bacterial SSU rRNA". It matches the Rfam family "Bacterial small subunit ribosomal RNA", at positions 28 to 744 of the family's 1533-position model. Lineage: Bacteria; Pseudomonadati; Pseudomonadota; Alphaproteobacteria; Hyphomicrobiales; Bartonellaceae. The record is from RNAcentral.
AACGAACGCUGGCGGCAGGCUUAACACAUGCAAGUCGAGCGCGCUCUUUUAGAGCGAGCGGCAAACGGGUGAGUAACGCGUGGGAAUCUACCCAUUUCUACGGAAUAACACAGAGAAAUUUGUGCUAAUACCGUAUACGUCCCUUUAGGGAGAAAGAUUUAUCGGAGAUGGAUGAGCCCGCGUUGGAUUAGCUAGUUGGUGAGGUAACGGCUCACCAAGGCGACGAUCCAUAGCUGGUCUGAGAGGAUGAUCAGCCACACUGGGACUGAGACACGGCCCAGACUCCUACGGGAGGCAGCAGUGGGGAAUAUUGGACAAUGGGGGCAACCCUGAUCCAGCCAUGCCGCGUGAGUGAUGAAGGCCCUAGGGUUGUAAAGCUCUUUCACCGGUGAAGAUAAUGACGGUAACCGGAGAAGAAGCCCCGGCUAACUUCGUGCCAGCAGCCGCGGUAAUACGAAGGGGGCUAGCGUUGUUCGGAUUUACUGGGCGUAAAGCGCACGUAGGCGGAUAUUUAAGUCAGAGGUGAAAUCCCAGGGCUCAACCCUGGAACUGCCUUUGAUACUGGAUAUCUUGAGUGUGGAAGAGGUGAGUGGAAUUCCGAGUGUAGAGGUAAAAUUCGUAGAUAUUCGGAGGAACACCAGUGGCGAAGGCGGCUCACUGGUCCAUUACUGAC